RNAcentral lists this ribosomal RNA (322 nucleotides) under Sosane wahrbergi. RNAcentral's name for it is "partial large subunit ribosomal RNA". It matches the Rfam family "Eukaryotic large subunit ribosomal RNA", at positions 76 to 389 of the family's 3401-position model. Lineage: Eukaryota; Metazoa; Annelida; Polychaeta; Terebellida; Ampharetidae. The record is from RNAcentral.
UCCCCUAGUAACGGCGAGUGAAGCGGGAAUAGCCCAGCACCGAAUCCCUCUGGCAUUUGCUCCAGACGGGAACUGUGGUGUUUGGGAGGCAGGCUGCGUCGUCGUCUUUCGUCCGAGUCCUCCUGAUCGGGGCUUCACCCAGAGCGGGUGUCAGGCCUCUACGGUCAAGGGCGGCGGCGCUCUCGGUCUCCUAGGAGUCGGGUUGUUUGGGAAUGCAGCCCAAAGUGGGUGGUAAACUCCAUCUAAGGCUAAAUACCGACACGAGUCCGAUAGCGGACAAGUACCGUGAGGGAAAGUUUAAAAGAACUUUGAAGAGAGAGUU